This 26-nucleotide non-coding RNA is filed under the name Cricetulus griseus (Chinese hamster). The record is from RNAcentral. Lineage: Eukaryota; Metazoa; Chordata; Mammalia; Rodentia; Cricetidae.
GAUUCUUUCUGUCUCGGAGAAAUGGG